Molecule: ribosomal RNA, 485 nt
Filed under: uncultured bacterium
Lineage: Bacteria
Description: partial 16S ribosomal RNA
Rfam family: Bacterial small subunit ribosomal RNA
Source: RNAcentral
UUGAACGCUGGCGGCAUGCCUUACACAUGCAAGUCGAACGGCAGCACGGGUGCUUGAACCUGGUGGCGAGUGGCGAACGGGUGAGUAAUACAUCGGAACAUGUCCUGUAGUGGGGGAUAGCCCGGCGAAAGCCGGAUUAAUACCGCAUACGAUCUACGGAUGAAAGCGGGGGACCUUCGGGCCUCGCGCUAUAGGGUUGGCCGAUGGCUGAUUAGCUAGUUGGUGGGGUAAAGGCCUACCAAGGCGACGAUCAGUAGCUGGUCUGAGAGGACGACCAGCCACACUGGGACUGAGACACGGCCCAGACUCCUACGGGAGGCAGCAGUGGGGAAUUUUGGACAAUGGGCGAAAGCCUGAUCCAGCAAUGCCGCGUGUGUGAAGAAGGCCUUCGGGUUGUAAAGCACUUUUGUCCGGAAAGAAAUCCUUGGCCCUAAUACGGUCGGGGGAUGACGGUACCGGAAGAAUAAGCACCGGCUAACUACGUG